AUAAUUAUGAAUAGUUCUUCCAUAGUUCUUUCAAAUUUGUAAGUUAUUUAAAUUGAUCUAAAAAUUAUUUAAAAGAUCUCAAACUAAAAUAUUUCAUCUACUCAGCAAUCAGAAGUGAACAUUUUUGAGCAUAAGAAAUUGAUAUAAUGUAGCAAGUAAUAUCUGAAGAACCAGUGACUGGUGAGCUCUUAACUUUAAGAGCUUGAGUCUAGUUAGAUUUUGAAACAAGGGGCCUCUUCUUUUCCCUUAUUAUAGUCCACCAUUCUAUAUAACGAAAUGAAAAAUUGUCAACAUAUGCGAUAUGAUUAAGAUUCAAGCAAGGGAGAAACAAAAAUUUGAAUG
Molecule: small RNA, 342 nt
Filed under: Arabidopsis thaliana (thale cress)
Lineage: Eukaryota; Viridiplantae; Streptophyta; Magnoliopsida; Brassicales; Brassicaceae
Description: ATSL082060
Source: RNAcentral